Molecule: small RNA, 287 nt
Organism: Brucella melitensis
Lineage: Bacteria; Pseudomonadati; Pseudomonadota; Alphaproteobacteria; Hyphomicrobiales; Brucellaceae
Rfam family: 5' ureB small RNA
Source: Rfam
CCUCAUCCACCUGUUGCGGCGAGAUGAAAUGGACAUGGGUAUCGAUGCCGCCCGCGGUGACGAUCUUGCCUUCGCCAGCGAUGAUCUCCGUGCCGGGGCCGAUGAUGAUCGAGAUGCCGGGCUGCGUAUCGGGAUUGCCUGCCUUGCCGAUGAGGGCGAUGCGCCCGUCGAGAAGCCCGAUAUCCGCCUUGUAGAUGCCGCUAUGGUCGAGGAUCAGCGCAUUGGUGAUGACGGUGUCCAUCGCGCCUUCGGCGCGGGAAAGCUGGCUCUGGCCCAUACCGUCGCGG